CUAAAUAAAACAGCAACCUUCACUUGAUUGAUUCUAGGAGCGUUGCUGAUAUAUCCUGUUAUAGUUGUGUGAAUCACAUAUUAAUUAACAAUUUGAGUAAUUAAAAUGCUUUUAUUCUUUAAAGAUGUUAGAGAUGGAGCCAAAUAUCUAACAUAUAUGUGCAAAACUGAUGGUAUCCUGCAUGGUAGUGCAGAAUAAUGCAAUGCAGGCCUCACUGCAUUUCUUUAUACUACUAUAUACCAUAUACUUCUAUAUACUUUGAAGUGAGUAUUUUAGCUUGCUCACUGUGUGAUAUGUACAGCCUGAGCUGAUCAAAGAGAGAAACCUGGUUUUUUAUCUGGGUAUCUUUGACGCAAUCCUUACUGCUAAAGGGUAAAUCAAGCCUCUGUUUACUGGAAAUCCUCUAGCAUUUCCAGCUUCUGUUGGAACUCGGUGCUUUUAUGAGCUCCAAAAAGCAAUUAUCUGUGUACAGAAACAUACCUGUACAGCAUCGGUUUCUCGUCCUCUGAGAAAUUAGUUGCUAACUGCACUUUGGCAAGUCACAUGUUUACUUUUUCACACACAUCACGGCCAAAAUCUCACCUCACUCAUGCCGGUGACACCAGACCACCUCUCGUGGCACGACAGCUACUGAAAGCAUCAUUUUGUGUUUAUAAAGGUACAGAAUGAGUGCUUCAGUUUGUGCCUUGCUGGCCAACCCCAGGUCCUUCAGAGCUCCCUUCCCACUCCUCAGGGCCCCAGAGGCAGCUUGAAGCCUCCGCCUCCUAGGCCCCGCCUGGGCACGCAACUCUGAGACUUCUGCUGCCUCCACAGUUGGGAUGCUUUUAACUUACACACACGCUACUCACUUGUUUGCCUUGCAUUUCUUUUUCAUUUGUCUUCUGGUCAGCUUUAUUUUCACUCCCUUUCCGAGAGCGGCCCUGCUGCAGGUGCAAAUAUUAAAUCAUUGCACAAGCACGUGUGAGACAACUUCCAUCGUUUCUCAACGGAAUGAAAAUGGUUCAACUGCAAAACAGAGAUCUCCACCACAGUCAAGUUGUCUGCGUGGGCAGGUCAACAGAGUAAACUCCUUUCUCUGCACAUCUUCACCCACCAUCAGAUGAGCACAGAUACUGAAGGGCUGAGCACAGCUGGGAACAAAGCAGGCCUGUGUUGGUGCAGGGGAACAAAUUCUUCCACUGUAGGACAUGGCUCGCAGGAGACAGUUUGUGAGACACAGCUAGAGCUAGUCUCUAGCAAGUAACUGUUGAAGCAACAAUUGCAUUUUUUCCUUCCACAGACUAAUCAUCAGCUAAGAGCAUGUAUAAAGCAGGAGGAGCGUCAUAUAUCACGUUCUGCUUUAACAAAAAAUCUGGACUUCAGGCUCCUGGAGCUAAGGAGACAUUCCUUAACUUCCACCAGAUGUAGAACACAUAUUUUCCUUUCAGGGCAGUUGCUGGAAUAAACGUCUGACACAAACCA
This 1461-nucleotide long non-coding RNA is filed under the name Numida meleagris (helmeted guineafowl). RNAcentral describes it as "lncRNA (ENSNMEG00000010398.1)". Lineage: Eukaryota; Metazoa; Chordata; Aves; Galliformes; Numididae. The record is from RNAcentral.